UACGGGGGGGGCAAGCGUUGUUCGGAAUUACUGGGCGUAAAGGGCUCGUAGGCGGCCAACUAAGUCAGACGUGAAAUCCCUCGGCUUAACCGGGGAACUGCGUCUGAUACUGGAUGGCUUGAGAUUGGGAGAGGGAUGCGGAAUUCCAGGUGUAGCGGUGAAGUGCGUAGAUAUCUGGAGGAACACCGGUGGCGAAGGCGGCAUCCUGGACCAACACUGACGCUGAGGAGCGAAAGCCAGGGGAGCAAACGGG
RNAcentral lists this ribosomal RNA (253 nucleotides) under uncultured bacterium. Its description in RNAcentral is "partial 16S ribosomal RNA". It matches the Rfam family "Bacterial small subunit ribosomal RNA", at positions 524 to 776 of the family's 1533-position model. The record is from RNAcentral.